Molecule: unclassified non-coding RNA, 343 nt
Filed under: soil metagenome
Description: partial contains 5.8S ribosomal RNA, internal transcribed spacer 2, and large subunit ribosomal RNA
Rfam family: 5.8S ribosomal RNA (bases 1-120)
Source: RNAcentral
GAUGAAGAACGCAGCGAAAUGCGAUAAGUAAUGUGAAUUGCAGAAUUCAGUGAAUCAUCGAAUCUUUGAACGCACAUUGCGCCCGCUAGUGUUCUGGCGGGCAUGCCUGUCCGAGCGUCAUUUCAACCCUCAAGCCCCCGGGCUUGGUGUUGGGGAUCGGCGAGCCUCCGCGCCCGCCGUCCCCUAAAUCUAGUGGCGGUCUCGCUGUAGCUUCCUCUGCGUAGUAGCACACCUCGCACUGGGAAACAGCGCGGCCACGCCGUUAAACCCCCAACUUCUGAACGUUUGACCUCGGAUCAGGUAGGAAUACCCGCUGAACUUAAGCAUAUCAAUAAGCGGAGGA